Molecule: ribosomal RNA, 491 nt
Filed under: uncultured bacterium
Lineage: Bacteria
Description: bacterial SSU rRNA
Rfam family: Bacterial small subunit ribosomal RNA
Source: RNAcentral
GACGAACGCUGGCGGCGUGCUUAAAACAUGCAAGUCGAACGGACUUCUCAUGAAGCUUGCGAUUGAGAAGUUAGUGGCGGACGGGUGAGUAACGCGUGGGCAACCUGCCCCUGAGCCCGGGAUAACAGUUCGAAAGGACUGCUAAGACCGGAUAUACUUGCGGUGAAGCAUUUCACUGCAAGGAAAGGGAACGCUCAGGGAUGGGCCCGCGUCCCAUUAGCUAGUUGGUGAGGUAACGGCCCACCAAGGCGACGAUGGGUAGCCGGCCUGAGAGGGUGAACGGCCACACUGGGACUGAGACACGGCCCAGACUCCUACGGGAGGCAGCAGUUGGGAAUCUUCGGCAAUGGGCGCAAGCCUGACGGUGCGACGUCGCGUGGAGGAUGAAGGUCUUCGGAUUGUAAACUCCUGUCAUGUGGGAUAAAUGGCCAGGGCAUGAAUAGUGCCUUGGAAUGAUAGUACCACAGGAGGAAGGGCGGUAACUCUGUGCC